RNAcentral lists this ribosomal RNA (527 nucleotides) under uncultured bacterium. RNAcentral describes it as "partial 16S ribosomal RNA". It matches the Rfam family "Bacterial small subunit ribosomal RNA", at positions 355 to 871 of the family's 1533-position model. The record is from RNAcentral.
UGGGGAAUCUUCCGCAAUGGACGAAAGUCUGACGGAGCAACGCCGCGUGUAUGAUGAAGGUCUUCGGAUUGUAAAGUACUGUCAUUGGGAAGAACGGUUUUCUUGAAAAGAUUGAGAAGACAUGACGGUACCCAAGGAGGAAGCCCCGGCUAACUACGUGCCAGCAGCCGCGGUAAUACGUAGGGGGCAAGCGUUGUCCGGAAUUAUUGGGCGUAAAGGGCGCGUAGGCGGGCCUUUAAGUCCGGUGUGAAAGAUCAGGGCUCAACCCUGAGAGUGCAUCGGAAACUGGAGGCCUUGAGGACAGGAGAGGAAAGUGGAAUUCCACGUGUAGCGGUGAAAUGCGUAGAUAUGUGGAGGAACACCAGUGGCGAAGGCGACUUUCUGGACUGUAACUGACGCUGAGGCGCGAAAGCGUGGGGAGCAAACAGGAUUAGAUACCCUGGUAGUCCACGCCGUAAACGAUGAGUGCUAGGUGUAGAGGGUAUCGACCCCCUUCUGUGCCGCAGUUAAACACAAUAAGCACUCCC